AGCAGCCGCGGUAAUUCCAGCUCCAAUAGCGUAUAUUAAAGUUGUUGCAGUUAAAAAGCUCGUACUUGAAUUUCGGGAUCAAAUUGUCGGUCGUGCCUCGGUACGCACUGGUAUUAUUGGUUCCUACCUUCUGAAGAACCGCGAUGUCAUUAAUUUGGUGUCGUGGGGAAUCAGGACUGUUACUUUGAAAAAAUUAGAGUGUUUAAAGGAGGCUUACGCUUGAAUACAUUAGCAUGGGAAUAAUGAAAUAGGACGUUUGAUUCUAUUUUGUUGGUUUCUAGGAUUGACGUAAUGAUUAAUAGGGAUAGUUGGGGGCAUUAGUAUUCAAUUGUCAGAGGUGAAAUUCUUGGAUUUAUUGAAGACUAACUACUGCGAAAGCAUUUGCCAAGGAUGUUUUCA
Molecule: ribosomal RNA, 399 nt
Filed under: uncultured Glomus
Lineage: Eukaryota; Fungi; Glomeromycota; Glomeromycetes; Glomerales; Glomeraceae
Description: SSU rRNA
Rfam family: Eukaryotic small subunit ribosomal RNA
Source: RNAcentral